This 73-nucleotide transfer RNA is filed under the name Trichonephila clavata. It matches the Rfam family "tRNA". From Rfam's summary of the family: Transfer RNA (tRNA) molecules are approximately 80 nucleotides in length. Lineage: Eukaryota; Metazoa; Arthropoda; Arachnida; Araneae; Nephilidae. The record is from Rfam by way of RNAcentral.
GUCCCUCUAGUGCAUUAGAUAGCGCGUUGGACUUCUAAUCCAAAGGUCGUGGGUUCAAAUUCCACCUGGGAUG